GUUGCCACAGCUUUGUGUGUUCUUUUGGAAGAGGUUUUCUCUUUGAGAGGUGACUGAAGCAAUGGUAAUGAGGAAUGCACUUGAAUGUCUCCACUGCUGUGUAUCUAUUGCUAGUUCAAACCAAAGAUCCAUCUUUCUCGCAGUAGAAUCGGAAAGAGGAAGAUCACAAAUGUAGCAGAGGUAAAGAAUCCCCUUUUUGGAGAUGGGUUUAUGCUGCCUGCCAGCUGUGGACUGGUUCUCUACUUUCGCAGCCUUAUUGCCAGCUUCAUUUUCCUUUUUUUUUUUUUUUUUUUUCCCUUCCCCCUCUUGGCAGGAUACAGCCGCGUCUGUCCCUGUUCUGGAGCUUUAGCACCUUGA
This 357-nucleotide long non-coding RNA is filed under the name Struthio camelus australis. RNAcentral's name for it is "lncRNA (ENSSCUG00000008008.1)". The record is from RNAcentral. Lineage: Eukaryota; Metazoa; Chordata; Aves; Struthioniformes; Struthionidae.